UCCGGUUUGUCACCGGCAGUCUCCUUAGAGUUCCCACCAUAAUGUGCUGGCAACUAAGGACAAGGGUUGCGCUCGUUACGGGACUUAACCCAACAUCUCACGACACGAGCUGACGACAGCCAUGCAGCACCUGUCUCUCGGUUCCCGAAGGCACCAAGGCAUCUCUGCCAAGUUCCGAGGAUGUCAAGGCCAGGUAAGGUUCUUCGCGUUGCAUCGAAUUAAACCACAUGCUCCACCGCUUGUGCGGGCCCCCGUCAAUUCAUUUGAGUUUUAGCCUUGCGGCCGUACUCCCCAGGCGGUCGACUUAUCGCGUUAACUGCGCCACUAAACCCUUAAAUGGGCCCAACGGCUAGUCGACAUCGUUUACGGCGUGGACUAC
RNAcentral lists this unclassified non-coding RNA (379 nucleotides) under uncultured Gammaproteobacteria bacterium. RNAcentral describes it as "contains 16S-23S intergenic spacer region". Lineage: Bacteria; Pseudomonadati; Pseudomonadota; Gammaproteobacteria. The record is from RNAcentral.